This 253-nucleotide ribosomal RNA is filed under the name uncultured bacterium. Its description in RNAcentral is "partial 16S ribosomal RNA". It matches the Rfam family "Bacterial small subunit ribosomal RNA", at positions 524 to 776 of the family's 1533-position model. The record is from RNAcentral.
UACGUAGGGGGCAAGCGUUGUCCGGAAUCAUUGGGCGUAAAGCGCGCGUAGGCGGCCCGGUAAGUCCGUUGUGAAAGUCGAAGGCUCAACCUUCGAAAGCCGAUGGAUACUGCCGGGCUAGAGUACGGAAGAGGCGAGUGGAAUUCCUAGUGUAGAGGUGAAAUUCGUAGAUAUUAGGAAGAACACCAGUGGCGAAGGCGGCUCACUGGCCCGGUACUGACGCUGAGGCGCGAAAGCGUGGGGAGCAAACAGG